CCAGACUCCUACGGGAGGCAGCAGUGGGGGAUAUUGCACAAUGGGGGAAACCCUGAUGCAGCGACGCCGCGUGAGUGAAGAAGUAUUUCGGUAUGUAAAGCUCUAUCAGCAGGGAAGAAAAUGACAGUACCUGACCAAGAAGCCCCGGCUAACUACGUGCCAGCAGCCGCGGUAAUACGUAGGGGGCAAGCGUUAUCCGGAUUUACUGGGUGUAAAGGGAGCGUAGACGGUUAUGUAAGUCUGGAGUGAAAGCCCGGGGCCCAACCCCGGGACUGCUUUGGAAACUGUGUAACUGGAGUACAGGAGGGGCAGGCGGAAUUCCUGGUGUAGCGGUGAAAUGCGUAGAUAUCAGGAGGAACACCGGCGGCGAAGGCGGCUUACUGGACAGUAACUGACGUUGAGGCUCGAAAGCGUGGGGAGCAAACAGGAUUAGAUACCCGCGUAAC
This 446-nucleotide ribosomal RNA is filed under the name uncultured bacterium. RNAcentral's name for it is "bacterial SSU rRNA". It matches the Rfam family "Bacterial small subunit ribosomal RNA", at positions 331 to 794 of the family's 1533-position model. The record is from RNAcentral.